UACGGGGGGUGCUAGCGGUAUUCGGAAUCAUUGGGCGUAAAGGGCGCGUAGGCGGUCUUUUAAGUCAGAUGUGAAAGCCCUCGGCUUAACCGAGGAAGUGCAUGUGAUACUAAGAGACUUGAGUAUGGGAGAGGGAAGCGUAAUUCCUGGUGUAGCGGGGAAAUGCGUAGAUAUCAGGAGGAACACCGGUGGCGAAGGCGACUUCCUGGACCAAUACUGACGCUGAGGCGCGAAGGCGUCGGGAGUAAUCAGG
This 253-nucleotide ribosomal RNA is filed under the name uncultured bacterium. Its description in RNAcentral is "partial 16S ribosomal RNA". It matches the Rfam family "Bacterial small subunit ribosomal RNA", at positions 524 to 776 of the family's 1533-position model. The record is from RNAcentral.